AUGCGUCAAUAUUGGUGGGGUGUUGAGAAUGGCAAGAAGAAGAUGUCGUGGUUAAAGUGGGACAAAAUGACUCUGCCGAAAUCAAAAGGCGGCAUGGGAUUCAGAGACAUGAGAGCAUUUAACCAAGCUAUGUUGGCUAAACAGGCUUGGCGUUUAAUUGAUUCCCCUGAUAGUUUGUGUGCCCGCCUUCUAAAGGCCAAGUAUUAUCCGAACGGUAAUAUUCUUGAUAUUGUGUUUCCGGUGAACUCAUCG
This 252-nucleotide ribosomal RNA is filed under the name Triticum aestivum (bread wheat). RNAcentral describes it as "partial small subunit ribosomal RNA". The record is from RNAcentral. Lineage: Eukaryota; Viridiplantae; Streptophyta; Magnoliopsida; Poales; Poaceae.